CGCAUCUGUGCAUGCAGCAUAUCAAUAAGCGGAGGAAAAGAAACUAACAAGGAUUCCCCUAGUAACGGCGAGUGAAGCGGGAAGAGCUCAAAUUUGAAAUCUUAAAGGGUUUCCCUUUACGAAUUGUAGUUUAAAGAAGUGUUUUCUGUUGAGGUUUUGGUAAAAGUUCUUUGGAAUAGGACAUCAUAGAGGGUGAGAAUCCCGUAUUUGACCUUUACUUUCAACUUUGUGAUACACUUUCAAAGAGUCGGAUUGUUUGGGAAUGCAGUCCAAAAUGGGUGGUAAAUUUCAUCUAAAGCUAAAUAUUGGCGAGAGACCGAUAGCGAACAAGUACCGUGAGGGAAGGAUGAAAAGAACUUUGAAAAGAGAGUUAAACAGUACGUGAAAUUGUCAAAAGGGAAGCGUUUGACACCAGUGUUGUUUUUCUGAAAAUCAAUUAAAGAACUGUUUAUGCUAAGUUGUUUAGACUUUAUCAGCUAACUGUUUAGUUUUGAGCUUUUCUUUAAUGCACUUUUCAGUUAACAAGUCAACAUCAAUUUCUUUUGCUGUAAAAAAGCUUGAGGAAGGUGGCUUGAGAUUCGUCUUAAGUGUUUAUAGCCUCUUGCCUAUGCAGUCGGAGAGAUUGAGGUCUGCAGCGUAGAUCCUUCGGGGCUAAAUGCAUUUGUGCUAAGUUAUAGCAUUUUAUAGACAACUUGUUGACUAUGAUUUGUCUUGUAGCUUACUCGCUUAUGUUAUUUUACCUACGCUUAGGAUGUUGAGUCAUCACACAUCUCU
This 774-nucleotide ribosomal RNA is filed under the name uncultured Neocallimastigales. RNAcentral describes it as "partial large subunit ribosomal RNA". It matches the Rfam family "Eukaryotic large subunit ribosomal RNA", at positions 26 to 614 of the family's 3401-position model. The record is from RNAcentral. Lineage: Eukaryota; Fungi; Neocallimastigomycota; Neocallimastigomycetes; Neocallimastigales.